This is a non-coding RNA of Podarcis lilfordi (Lilford's wall lizard), 72 nucleotides long. The record is from the annotation of a GenBank genome assembly. Lineage: Eukaryota; Metazoa; Chordata; Lepidosauria; Squamata; Lacertidae.
AGGGACAUAGCUCAGGGGCAGAGCAUCUGCCUUGCCUGCCGAAGGUCCCUGUUUCAAUCCCCAGUAUCUUUA